RNAcentral lists this ribosomal RNA (405 nucleotides) under uncultured bacterium. RNAcentral describes it as "partial 16S ribosomal RNA". It matches the Rfam family "Bacterial small subunit ribosomal RNA", at positions 28 to 526 of the family's 1533-position model. The record is from RNAcentral.
GACGAACGCUGGCGGCGUGCCUAAUACAUGCAAGUCGAGCGAAGAGGGGACGGGGGAGUAACACGUGGAUAACCUCGUAUAAGAAUGGGAAAAAUUCGGGAAACCGGAGCUAAAACGGAUAAUUAUAGAUGGAGCCGCGCUGCAUUAGGUAGUUGGUAAGGUAACGGCUUACCAAGGCAACGAUGCCUAGCCGACCUGAGAGGGUGGUCGGCCACACUGGAACUGAGACACGGUCCAGACUCCUACGGGAGGCAGCAGUGGGGAAUCUUCCGCAAUGGGGGAAACCCUGACGGAGCCACGCCGCGUGAGUGAUGAAGGUCUUCGGUUCGUAAAACUCUGUUAUUAGGGAAGCGUUACCUAAACAGAAAGCCCCGGCUAACUCCGUGCCAGCAGCCGCGGUAAUAC